UGAGGAAUAUUGCACAAUGGGCGCAAGCCUGAUGCAGCAACGCCGCGUGAGGGACGAAGGCCUUCGGGUUGUAAACCUCUUUUCUGAGGGACGAGGAAGGACGGUACCUCAGGAAUAAGUCUCGGCUAACUACGUGCCAGCAGCCGCGGUAAAACGUAGGAGGCGAGCGUUAUCCGGAUUUACUGGGCGUAAAGCGCGCGCAGGUGGCUUCGUUAGUCGGACAUGAAAGCUCCUGGCUUAACUGGGAGAGGCUGUUCGAUACUGCGGGGCUUGAGGUUGGGAGAGGGACGCGGAAUUCCCGGUGUAGUGGUGGAAUGCGUUGAUAUCGGGAGGAACACCAGUGGCGCAAGCGGCGUCCUGGCCCACACCUGACGCUGGGGUGCGAAAGCGUGGGUAGCAAACAG
This 404-nucleotide ribosomal RNA is filed under the name uncultured bacterium. Its description in RNAcentral is "bacterial SSU rRNA". It matches the Rfam family "Bacterial small subunit ribosomal RNA", at positions 355 to 775 of the family's 1533-position model. The record is from RNAcentral.